UUAAGCGACUAAGCGUACACGGUGGAUGCCCUGGCAGUCAGAGGCGAUGAAGGACGUGCUAAUCUGCGAUAAGCGUCGGUGAGGUGAUAUGAACCGUUAUAACCGGCGAUUUCCGAAUGGGGAAACCCAGUGUGUUUCGACACACUAUCAUUAACUGAAUCCAUAGGUUAAUGAGGCGAACCGGGGGAACUGAAACAUCUAAGUACCCCGAGGAAAAGAAAUCAACCGAGAUUCCCCCAGUAGCGGCGAGCGAACGGGGAGCAGCCCAGAGCCUGAAUCAGUGUGUGUGUUAGUGGAAGCGUCUGGAAAGGCGCGCGAUACAGGGUGACAGCCCCGUACACAAAAAUGCACAUACUGUGAGCUCGAUGAGUAGGGCGGGACACGUGGUAUCCUGUCUGAAUAUGGGGGGACCAUCCUCCAAGGCUAAAUACUCCUGACUGACCGAUAGUGAACCAGUACCGUGAGGGAAAGGCGAAAAGAACCCCGGCGAGGGGAGUGAAAAAGAACCUGAAACCGUGUACGUACAAGCAGUGGGAGCCUCUUUUAUGGGGUGACUGCGUACCUUUUGUAUAAUGGGUCAGCGACUUAUAUUCUGUAGCAAGGUUAACCGAAUAGGGGAGCCGAAGGGAAACCGAGUCUUAACUGGGCGUUAAGUUGCAGGGUAUAGACCCGAAACCCGGUGAUCUAGCCAUGGGCAGGUUGAAGGUUGGGUAACACUAACUGGAGGACCGAACCGACUAAUGUUGAAAAAUUAGCGGAUGACUUGUGGCUGGGGGUGAAAGGCCAAUCAAACCGGGAGAUAGCUGGUUCUCCCCGAAAGCUAUUUAGGUAGCGCCUCGUGAAUUCAUCUCCGGGGGUAGAGCACUGUUUCGGCAAGGGGGUCAUCCCGACUUACCAACCCGAUGCAAACUGCGAAUACCGGAGAAUGUUAUCACGGGAGACACACGGCGGGUGCUAACGUCCGUCGUGAAGAGGGAAACAACCCAGACCGCCAGCUAAGGUCCCAAAGUCAUGGUUAAGUGGGAAACGAUGUGGGAAGGCCCAGACAGCCAGGAUGUUGGCUUAGAAGCAGCCAUCAUUUAAAGAAAGCGUAAUAGCUCACUGGUCGAGUCGGCCUGCGCGGAAGAUGUAACGGGGCUAAACCAUGCACCGAAGCUGCGGCAGCGACGCUAAGCGUUGUUGGGUAGGGGAGCGUUCUGUAAGCCUGUGAAGGUGUGCUGUGAGGUAUGCUGGAGGUAUCAGAAGUGCGAAUGCUGACAUAAGUAACGAUAAAGCGGGUGAAAAGCCCGCUCGCCGGAAGACCAAGGGUUCCUGUCCAACGUUAAUCGGGGCAGGGUGAGUCGACCCCUAAGGCGAGGCCGAAAGGCGUAGUCGAUGGGAAACAGGUUAAUAUUCCUGUACUUGGUGUUACUGCGAAGGGGGGACGGAGAAGGCUAUGUUGGCCGGGCGACGGUUGUCCCGGUUUAAGCGUGUAGGCUGAUUUUCCAGGCAAAUCCGGAAAAUCAAGGCUGAGGCGUGAUGACGAGGCACUACGGUGCUGAAGCAACAAAUGCCCUGCUUCCAGGAAAAGCCUCUAAGCAUCAGGUAACAUCAAAUCGUACCCCAAACCGACACAGGUGGUCAGGUAGAGAAUACCAAGGCGCUUGAGAGAACUCGGGUGAAGGAACUAGGCAAAAUGGUGCCGUAACUUCGGGAGAAGGCACGCUGAUAUGUAGGUGAAGCCACUUGCGCAUGGAGCUGAAAUCAGUCGAAGAUACCAGCUGGCUGCAACUGUUUAUUAAAAACACAGCACUGUGCAAACACGAAAGUGGACGUAUACGGUGUGACGCCUGCCCGGUGCCGGAAGGUUAAUUGAUGGGGUUAGCGGUAACGCGAAGCUCUUGAUCGAAGCCCCGGUAAACGGCGGCCGUAACUAUAACGGUCCUAAGGUAGCGAAAUUCCUUGUCGGGUAAGUUCCGACCUGCACGAAUGGCGUAAUGAUGGCCAGGCUGUCUCCACCCGAGACUCAGUGAAAUUGAACUCGCUGUGAAGAUGCAGUGUACCCGCGGCAAGACGGAAAGACCCCGUGAACCUUUACUAUAGCUUGACACUGAACAUUGAGCCUUGAUGUGUAGGAUAGGUGGGAGGCUUUGAAGUGUGGACGCCAGUCUGCAUGGAGCCGGCCUUGAAAUACCACCCUUUAAUGUUUGAUGUUCUAACGUUGGCCC
RNAcentral lists this ribosomal RNA (2207 nucleotides) under Escherichia coli UCI 57. RNAcentral describes it as "bacterial LSU rRNA". It matches the Rfam family "Bacterial large subunit ribosomal RNA", at positions 1 to 2234 of the family's 2925-position model. The record is from RNAcentral. Lineage: Bacteria; Pseudomonadati; Pseudomonadota; Gammaproteobacteria; Enterobacterales; Enterobacteriaceae.